Molecule: ribosomal RNA, 325 nt
Filed under: uncultured eukaryote
Lineage: Eukaryota
Description: partial 18S ribosomal RNA
Rfam family: Eukaryotic small subunit ribosomal RNA
Source: RNAcentral
CCCUUAGAUGCUCUGGGCCGCACGCGCGCUACACUGGUCGAUGCAACGAGUUUCUUUCCUUGGCCGACAGGCCUGGGCAAUCUUUGAACAUCGAUCGUGAUCGGGAUAGAUUCUUGUAAUUUUUGAUCUUAAACGAGGAAUUCCUAGUAAACGCAAGUCAUCAGCUUGCAUUGAUUACGUCCCUGCCCUUUGUACACACCGCCCGUCGCACCUACCGAUUGAAUGGUCCGGUGAAAUCUCCGGACUGCGGCAGUGUUCAGUUCCUGAACGUUGCAGCGGAAAGUUUAGUGAACCUUAUCACUUAGAGGAAGGAGAAGUCGUAACA